Homo sapiens (human) is the source of this 729-nucleotide long non-coding RNA. RefSeq lists it as uncharacterized. Lineage: Eukaryota; Metazoa; Chordata; Mammalia; Primates; Hominidae. The transcript is spliced from 4 exons. The record is from RefSeq and is a predicted model, not a curated record.
UCAGCUGAAGUGUUUCAGAAAUUGAGGCAUUUGAAGCAUGUACAAAAGGACAGAAAACAUAAACUCAUGCCUGGCAGAGAGCUUCUACUCUGAAGAAACAACAACCGAAGUGUCACAGGAUGAAUCUAUGCUAUUUGGAGAGGGAGUAUACAUUUAACUUGAAGCAAUCCCUGGAAGAAAAAUUCUACUAGCAGAGAUGCUCUGAGCAGAGAGAAAGCCUGUCUAUAUAGUGAAAGAAUGAAACCAAUACAUUGAAAAAAACUGAGAAGAGAAAGAGGUAGAGACUUCAUCUGAUACAAGCAUGCUUGAAACAAGAGACACCUGUAUGAUUCCAUCUUCCCAGGAGCUAGCAGGCAGUUCUUGUUGAGUUCAAGCCAGUUGAGACCAUCAACCCUUCAACUGAGCCUGCAUGGGUGCGUAAAGUGUGACCUUUUGAUGUCAAAGGGCCAAAACCUGCACCCUCCUUUCAUGCUAAUUCAACCAUUUUCUGAACAUGCAUCCUAUGAAGAGCCAUGUAGCUCAAUUAUGCUUGUGCAGAAACCCUGAUUACCUCACCUUUCCCACCUGCCAAUCACCUUUACCCAUACUUCACACCAUCCUGCUUUCUAUCCCGCUAAUUACCCCUAAGCCCUGUUUUCAGGGAGGUGGAUUUGCGAUUUGUUCUCCUUCUCCUUGCUCAGCAGCCUGGUAAGCAAUCUCACAAAAUAAAAUCUUUUCUUUUUUGCAAAA